This is a long non-coding RNA of Halichondria panicea, 446 nucleotides long. RefSeq lists it as uncharacterized. The transcript has 2 exons. NCBI's taxonomy places the organism in Eukaryota, Metazoa, Porifera, Demospongiae, Suberitida, Halichondriidae. The record is from RefSeq and is a predicted model, not a curated record.
AUGAAAAACCUCGACUAAUUUCUAGUCUCAACUGGAGUUGUCUGCCAAGAUGUGUCAUGGCCGACAAUACCUCGCCAUUAACAGGGUCAAGGAACAGCUGUCAAUAGAUGUAGUACUGAGAUAGUACUGAGUCGUCAAGAAUGAGUACCAAAUCUUCCUCUACAAGAAGCAGCUGUUACAGAACUCAUACGAUGACAAACAAGCCGAAUUAGAGGAGUGGAGAAUUACACCUCACUAUUGGACAAUGUACUGGCAGCAGAGAGAGAGAAGCUCAAGAAAUGGAAUUAGUGGAUUCAUCUUUAUCAUUUUGUGCUAGUUCAAUGGCAUUUUUUUUUUGGUAAAAUUUAAUACUAUAGCACAUUUAUUCAUUACUUACUGACAUAUUGAUGCUUGCUACUUUGAAACACAUCAUUUUGCAUUCGUGAAGAUUAAUGUGAUCACUAUAA